ACUGGAGACUUAUCAAAAGAAACUAUAACCAUUAAUUGGAAGGUUGGUUAUCUUUCAACAAUGUCACAAAGGAUGGAUGAAAUGUCAAUUUAGGUAUCACUAUAUUUGAUUACAAGAUUAAGGAUAUAUUUGGCAACUUUCAUAAAGUCUGGAUGCCUUACAUGGAAUACAGUAUGACAAAAGUAUAUUGAAAACAUGCCCACGCCAGGGGAGAUAUCUAUUUAGGCAAUCUCUAGCUGCUGGGCUGCUCAGUCCUGGCCCUGGGGGCUGCUGUCCUGUGGGUUGUCACUCUGGCCUUGGCCUAACCCACCUGAAACCAAUAAUAAAUGUUUCACUAAGAUCCUAAAGCAGAGUGGGGGGAGCUGCAGGGUGGUGGACCCCUAGGGACAGGACGACCCAGCUCUACAGUGUGCAAGUAAAAAUGCCUCUACAGUGUACUAUUAGAGAUUCAUUAUAUGGAGGAUGUGGUGUUUGUGUGUAAAUAUGUUAUUUUUAGUUUUUAUUACUUGUUUCCUAACCUUACUUUUAGGAAGGCAUUUUUUUUUUUUUAAGAUGGGAAGGAAAUUGAUAGGAGAGUUGUGUUGUUAUUGACUAGACUGGUGGGGGUCAGGUAUGCAGGUGGCUGGCUAAAACUAAAGUUGCACCCCUGCAUCAUUAGCUCCAAAAACGCCCAUCCUACGUGUUAUGAGACCAGAACAUAUCGGUACUAGCCUAGACAUUCAAUGUGGCCUACCAGCAUUUAACCAAACUGAUCAGAACGAGUGCCUGCCCUGGAGGUAGCAUAGCUAGCUAAUGUCAUGUGUAAGCUGGACUGCUAAUUAUUUUCCGAGCGGAACUAUCUGAGCAUCAUUUAUGAAUACUAGGUAACUAGCUAGACAACCAUUUACCCAGUUCAAAAGAGCAAGUCUUGAAUAUUCGCACGUGGCGUCGCGCCUUAUGAUGAUAGCUUGCUACUUUGCUAGCUAACGUUAGCAUAUUAUAUUUGGUCUCAACCGUGUGGUUGGACAUGAGCCAGGAUGUCGUUCAUAACGUCAAAUUAAUACUCAUGUGCACAGAGGUAGAAAUAGAGUGCUGGGUACGGUUUCAUGCUUAAUAAAAGUACAAUUGUCAGCCAAAGCGGGACAAAAGAAAUUCGUAGAAUCCGAAUACCAAGGCGGACAUUUUGGGGGCCCCUAUAACGUUAGCUAUCACCUCGACCGAACGGAACGCUAUCUAGCUUACUAGCUUAGCCAUCUGCAAUUUUACACGAAAUAAUAAUUUGGGGGCUAUGCUUUUUCAUCAUACACUUGGUUAUAUAGUUAUCUAACGUUAGCAAUGUAUUAGCGAGCUUGUUAGCAUGAUCGCCUAGCAAGCGAGUUAAUUAGUAUGUGCAUAGCUGCGAACAAAGGGAUACGAAUGCAAUCGAGCCUCUGCAGUGCAGUCAAUCAUGGGCCUCAAUGAAUUGUUUGUUACAAAACUGUCGUACACACUACCAAUGUAUUGGAAACAGUGUUCUUUAUGUGUAACCAGUGCGUUACGAAACCGGGAACCGGUCACGACCAAGGCCAAUAUCUACUUCUGCAAAUGUUUUGACAGGUUAACGUUAGCUGCUGGCUAAAUCACUGCUAGACACACGAGACUGCGGACAGGAAGGUUUGUCAUCGGAUUUCUUUGACCCUGGUGGAGAUGGAUGCAACCAUACUACAAGGCAGGACAUUUCGCUGAAUCCAAGUUGAGGCUUGCUACCAGCAGGAACAUGGAGCACUCUGUCAGUGCUACAGAGACAGAAUGGUCCAAGGACCUCCAGAGCCUUCUGAUCAAUUACCUGCGUUCUCUUCAGACUACAGAGAAGUGAGUCUGUUGGACUAUAGAACUUUAGAGCAGCACAUCAAAAGGCCUGCCACCCUGUUGUCAGGUAUAUGCAGACAGUUCCCUGAAGAAGGAUGCCACUAUCAAGGCUUAAAUGCCACAUUUUGGGGAUGACCAAAUGCAAUAUAGUUUUGUAUAAACAAAUUUGAUUAGAUUACAAAACAACUUUUUCAUAGCAUGUUUGUCACUAACUUUUACUUAUUUCUGUGGUAACUUAAACUCAACACGUGGAUAUUAUGAUUCAAUAGGUCUAAAGUAUAUGAACGUCUCAUGUAAAGGGUGAAUACAUUUUAUUAAUGUAUAUCACACAGGUCUCAAGUAAAAUAUAUAUAUAUCCCAGACAAGAUUGAAGAAUGGGACAAGUAAAGUGAAUAUUUGUCAG
Salvelinus sp. IW2-2015 is the source of this 2230-nucleotide non-coding RNA. NCBI's taxonomy places the organism in Eukaryota, Metazoa, Chordata, Actinopteri, Salmoniformes, Salmonidae. The record is from RefSeq and is a predicted model, not a curated record.